UAUUAUAUUAUAUUUAUAAUAUAGAGAUAGUUAAAGAAGAUUAGAAUACAAAUUUCUGUAUAACUGGGAGCAAUGUUUCGAUUAUUAUUGGCUUAUUUGUGGGACGAACAGUGGAGUAAUUAGAAUGGUUGAUUAAAUCUUUAAUGGAUUCGAUUGUUAUUUGACUGAGAAAUUCAUUGAAAUAUAGGCAAUAUAUACCAAUAGCUAUCUAAUAUAGUCACAAUUGUGUAUAGUUCAUUCUCUUUGUAGGAAGCAAUGUUGUAUAUAUCUUCAAAAGGAGGAAAGCAGAAUUAAAUCAUUAACAUAAUAUUAGCUGUAAAACACUUUGCACUCAGUUUCUGGCUUUCGUUAUUAUGAAGACACGUUUCAAAAGAUAAAUUCUAGUGUUUAAAUUACAAUGGUGGAUAAACUAAAUCACCAAGCUAUUUUAAUGAUAAGUUUGACCUCCAUAACUGGAUACUAUUCUGCAUGCAUUAAUUCAUAAUCUGUAAUUUUAUCGGGAGCAAAUAAUACGAUAAAAAAAAAGGUAAGUUCUAAAAUUUUUGAAAGCUUUCACUUAACACGUUAUUUUUGCAGAUAUCAUCCCUUGUUUAUCGUUCAACUUUUAUAAAUAAAGUUUUUUCGUGUCUCCAAAAAUAGCAGAGGCAAUUAAGUUUUGUUUCACCUCUCGUGCGUUUCCACAUAAAACGUCCCACGUUCGAGAGUCCACAGUCUUCGAAGAAUUAUUUACGAGGAUGCAGUGAACGAGAACGUAAUAAACAUCGAAGCCGAUUACGGAAUAAAAGUCGAAGGCGUGCCAAUGGAUGACAUUUCCUAAUCGAAACAAUGGGACUGUUUCAUGGAAGAUUGUACCUAGGAGAUUAGCGGAAAGAGGGUGUCAAUGGAGUUGGUCAGUUGAGUAGAACGUUUCCUGGGAUGAUUUUCCGUGAGAAUUAUGGGCACAGUUUCCAUGGAAAUUUAUAAUUAAUUUUUGUGAGAAAAUUGGAUAUUUUAGAAUAUUAUAAUCGUAAUUUUGAAUCAAUUUUUUUUUUUUAAUGACUUUUAAUAUUCUAGGAUUGAACAUUAUAAUAUAAGGAAUAUUAUAAUCUUAAUGGGAUCAAUUUUCACAAGAAUUUUCAAUAUUUUAUAGUAUUAAAAUAUCCAUCUAUUCAAUAUUCACACAAAACCAAUAAUAUUCCAAUACCCAUACAAUCUUUCCAUUUUUAUUUAAAUUUCCAAAUUUAAUUUAUUUAAAUUUACGAUAAAUGCAUCCAUCCAUCCAUCCAUCCAUCCAUUUAUCCAUCUAUAUAAUACUUCUCUAAAAAUCUCAAUUUCCCUAUGUUUUAGUUAUAAAAUCUUUUUACCGACCAUCGGUAACCGAUCAACAAGAAAGAUAUCUCCACCAUUAAAGAGUUGAAGACAUGAAUCGUGACUCUCGUAACUCUUUGAGCACAAGUUUUUCACGAUCGUGAAACGAAAGCAAAUAUCGUAUAUAUUUACGAUCGUAGCACGAGA
This is a long non-coding RNA of Apis florea (little honeybee), 1494 nucleotides long. The record is from RefSeq and is a predicted model, not a curated record. Lineage: Eukaryota; Metazoa; Arthropoda; Insecta; Hymenoptera; Apidae.